GCCCACAGGGUAGCUUGAUAGAGAAUGAGACUCUUAAUCUCAGGGUUGUGGGUUUGAGCCCCACGCCGGGCA
Non-coding RNA from Podarcis lilfordi (Lilford's wall lizard), 72 nucleotides. Lineage: Eukaryota; Metazoa; Chordata; Lepidosauria; Squamata; Lacertidae. The record is from the annotation of a GenBank genome assembly.